AGCACGUACAGUUUCAUUGUGUAAAAAAUAGUAGCAGGUGGGUAUUUUAGCAGUUCAGCUAUCUGAAAGAGAAAAUGAGUUGCUUCAGCAGAAAACCGAGGUCAUGACAUUAGCCACUUCACUGAAACCGGUCAGUUCAUCACUUCAUCUUUGUUCGUUGAUAUUCUUUUUUUUUGAGAGUACGCCAAAGGCAUACUUUUAUAAAAGAGAGAAAAUACAAUGUACAAGAAGCCUCGAAAUGGAUGCGAACAUCCACUCUCGACCACACCCCAGUACAACCAAAGCAGGUGUACUCUAAACACCCCAUUACAGAUAAUUAUUUACAGAUGUUCUCAUAGAUUUGGGAUGUAACAAUGGUUAACCUGCUCUUCAUGUUUUUUGAUAAUUGCUUUGACCAUCUGUUAAUUAGGCAUUACUAUGUAUCCGGCUUUUUCUAAGAUAUCUUUUAUGCCAUCAUGGCACUGAACCAUGAGUGAAGCAAUGAUGUAAACAACUCUGGGGUAUAACCAUUUGGCUGCUGGACUAAACAUUACAUAUUUAGUAACUAUUUCAAAACACAAAAUUUCAUGAUGAAAAAAUCAGCUUGUCCAUUUUCUUUUAUGGCUUGACUCUGUUCAAUCUUACAGAGAAAGGGACUGUUUUCUUCUUUUGUGACAUGACAGGAAGCAAGGUCAUGUGUAAGACGGAGGAGGAAACUGAUUUGGCUCUUCAUCACGUUGAGACUGUUGCAGCCAUGUGUGAUGUGUCAAUUUCUAUGAUGGGACAAAGGGUAGAAUCAGGAUGAUAUGGCUAAGAAAUAGUAGCAAAUAAGUGACUACUAGGGUGUCCGUACUAGCAACAUAAGUUACAUAAAUUUAUUGAUCUUGAACUAAUUUGCACAUUCUUUAUUUAUCCGUAAUUUAGUUUUGCUUCCAUCCGAAAAACAUUAUAAAUCAGUAAUAAAGAUAUGUACGGAUGAAAAACUAUGUAAAUAUUAGACAACUAUUUAUUAACAAUUAUUUGAUGUC
Molecule: long non-coding RNA, 1007 nt
Organism: Triticum aestivum (bread wheat)
Lineage: Eukaryota; Viridiplantae; Streptophyta; Magnoliopsida; Poales; Poaceae
Exons: 3
Source: RefSeq, a predicted model, not a curated record